Pan troglodytes (chimpanzee) is the source of this 523-nucleotide long non-coding RNA. RefSeq lists it as uncharacterized. The record is from RefSeq and is a predicted model, not a curated record. Lineage: Eukaryota; Metazoa; Chordata; Mammalia; Primates; Hominidae. The transcript is spliced from 2 exons.
CCUCAGACAUCAAUGACUCAAUAUCCUAGGGGGAAAGCAUAAGGAAAAGACCAUAAGCAAAAACACAAGAAUGUAGUCCUGCACACCAGGGCAUCACAUAUUAAUCAUCUUUCAAAUUAAGAGUCAUUGCUUAGCAUCACCAAUAUAUGGGAAGAAGGAGCUAAGAAGCAUCACUGAAUGCAUCCCAAAGUCCUGGCAUUGUUCCCUGAAGCACUUUUCAGUUAUGCCGUUUCAUUUCAUAACAUCCCUACAAAGUAGGCUUUACCACCUUUAUUUUAAAGACGAAGAAUUCAAUGUGACAAUGAGCUACUUAGAUGCACACGAUCCAGUAUGCAGCUUACUCUGCUUGCCAGAGAUUCUAUAAUGCUAUUCAGCAGGAAGAAAAAGCAAACCUAGCAUUAUACCAAGUGCCUGUGAUGGUGUCCAGUAUCUGAAAUUCUUGUACACUGCUGGUGGGGGUGGAAAUUGGUACAACCACUUUGGAUAACAGUUUGCACUAUUGAAUAAAAUUGGAGAUUCAGUA